Molecule: ribosomal RNA, 859 nt
Filed under: uncultured Bacteroidota bacterium
Lineage: Bacteria; Pseudomonadati; Bacteroidota
Description: bacterial SSU rRNA
Rfam family: Bacterial small subunit ribosomal RNA
Source: RNAcentral
UGCAAGUCGAGGGGCAGCACGGGUAGCAAUACCUGGUGGCGACCGGCGCAAGGGUGCGUAACGCGUGAGCAACAUGCCCUAUACAGGGGGAUAAACCAGGGAAACUUGGACUAAUACCCCAUAGCAUUUAUUUAUGGCAUCAUGAAUAAAUUAAAGCUUCGGUGGUAUAGGAUUGGCUCGCGUGACAUUAGCUAGAUGGUGAGGUAACGGCUCACCAUGGCGAUGAUGUCUAGGGGUUCUGAGAGGAAGGCCCCCCACACUGGGACUGAGACACGGCCCAGACUCCUACGGGAGGCAGCAGUGAGGAAUAUUGGACAAUGGAUGGAAAUCUGAUCCAGCCAUGCCGCGUGCAGGAAGACGGCCCUAUGGGUUGUAAACUGCUUUUAUACGGGAGCAAUAAGGUCUACGUGUAGACUGAUGAGAGUACCGUAUGAAUAAGCAUCGGCUAACUCCGUGCCAGCAGCCGCGGUAAUACGGAGGAUGCGAGCGUUAUCCGGAUUUAUUGGGUUUAAAGGGUGCGUAGGCGGCCUUGUAAGUCAGCGGUGAAAUUUUGCAGCUUAACUGUAAAAGUGCCGUUGAUACUGUGAGGCUAGGAUUUGGUUGCUGUGGGUGGAAUGUGUGGUGUAGCGGUGAAAUGCUUAGAGAUCACACAGAAUAUCGAUUGCGAAGGCAGCUCACAAAGCCAAGAUUGACGCUGAGGCACGAAAGUGUGGGGAUCAAACAGGAUUAGAUACCCUGGUAGUCCACACUGUAAACGAUGAUAACUCGCUGUCGGCGAUAUACAGUCGGUGGCCAAGCGAAAGCGAUAAGUUAUCCACCUGGGGAGUACGACCGCAAGGUUGAAACUCAAAGGAAUUGA